RNAcentral lists this unclassified non-coding RNA (400 nucleotides) under uncultured fungus. RNAcentral's name for it is "sequence contains ITS1". The stretch from base 1 to 106 matches the Rfam family "5.8S ribosomal RNA", at positions 50 to 154 of the family's 154-position model. Lineage: Eukaryota; Fungi. The record is from RNAcentral.
GAAAUGCGAUACCUAAUGCGAAUUGCAGAAUUCAGUGAAUCAUCAAAUCUUUGAACGCAAAUUGCGCUCUCGGGAUAGGCCUGAGAGCACGCCUCUUUGAGUAUCGAUUCCACCACCUCCAGAACAAACUUGUUUUGACACUGGGAAUUUGAGUGCUUCAUAUCUCUUUGCUGGGAUGUGUCACUUGAAGCGGAAUGGAAUUGAGGGUCUGCGAAACUGCUGUUGAAACUUCAUAGGCUGAAGUGGACUUGAACAUGGAUAAAUUUCCGAUGAUCAAUAAACCUUAGGCUUUUGAUAUCAGCGAAUCUAAGUUUUGCAAAGAGAAAGCCCUCUCCUAACUAAUAUCUUAACAAUCUAAGAAUUAGAUCUCAAAUGAAGCGAGACAACCCGCUGAACUUAA